CCGAAAGGGUGACGAAGCGACGUCGCGUGGGUGAGGAAGGCCUUCGGGUUGUAAAGCCCUGUCAGGAGUUAAGAAAUGUAGGUACGCUAAUAUCGUAUCUAUUUGACAAAGGCUCCAAAGGAAGCCACGGCUAACUCUGUGCCAGCAGCCGCGGUAAUGCAGAGGUGGCAAGCGUUGUUCGGAAUUAUUGGGCGUAAAGAGCACGUAGGUGGAUUUGUAAGUCAGAUGUGAAAGCCUUCUGUUCAACGGGAGAAUUGCAUCUGAAACUACAGACCUUGAGUAUAGGAGGGGAGAAUGGAACUUCUGGUGGAGCGGUGAAAUGCGUAGAUAUCAGAAGGAACGCCGGCGGCGAAAGCGAUUCUCUGGCCUAUUACUGACACUCAGUGUGCGAA
This 392-nucleotide ribosomal RNA is filed under the name uncultured Planctomycetales bacterium. RNAcentral describes it as "bacterial SSU rRNA". It matches the Rfam family "Bacterial small subunit ribosomal RNA", at positions 375 to 757 of the family's 1533-position model. The record is from RNAcentral. Lineage: Bacteria; Pseudomonadati; Planctomycetota; Planctomycetia; Planctomycetales.